GACGAACGCUGGCGGCGUGCUUAACACAUGCAAGUCGAACGGUAAGGCCCUUCGGGGUACACGAGUGGCGAACGGGUGAGUAACACGUGGGUGAUCUGCCCUGCACUUUGGGAUAAGCCUGGGAAACUGGGUCUAAUACCGAAUAUGACCAUGGACUUCACGGUUUGUGGUGGAAAGCUUUUGCGGUGUGGGAUGGGCCCGCGGCCUAUCAGCUUGUUGGUGGGGUAAUGGCCUACCAAGGCGACGACGGGUAGCCGGCCUGAGAGGGUGACCGGCCACACUGGGACUGAGAUACGGCCCAGACUCCUACGGGAGGCAGCAGUGGGGAAUAUUGCACAAUGGGCGCAAGCCUGAUGCAGCGACGCCGCGUGGGGGAUGACGGCCUUCGGGUUGUUAACCGUACUUUCUACCAGGACGAAGCGAGAGUGACGGUACCUCGGAGAGAAGGACGGCC
This 454-nucleotide ribosomal RNA is filed under the name uncultured bacterium. RNAcentral describes it as "bacterial SSU rRNA". It matches the Rfam family "Bacterial small subunit ribosomal RNA", at positions 28 to 497 of the family's 1533-position model. The record is from RNAcentral.